UUUAUACAACGAAGAGUUUGAUCCUGGCUCAGGAUGAACGCUAGCGGCAGGCCUAACACAUGCAAGUCGAAC
RNAcentral lists this ribosomal RNA (72 nucleotides) under Flavobacteriales bacterium. RNAcentral describes it as "partial 16S ribosomal RNA". It matches the Rfam family "Bacterial small subunit ribosomal RNA", at positions 1 to 67 of the family's 1533-position model. The record is from RNAcentral. Lineage: Bacteria; Pseudomonadati; Bacteroidota; Flavobacteriia; Flavobacteriales.